GACAACGACUUCGAAGGCAUUCGGAGGAGACCAAACAGAGAAAGAGAGGGAGACACAAAACCACAUGUCUCGGUGUCACACAUGAGGAGUUAAGAAGGAGAUGAAGUCAGUGAAUAUGACCUGGCCUGGGGGAGUUUCCAGAAGAAGGCCCAGAAUCGCUGGAUGCCAGGAGUGGAGAUCUUUCGUUGCUGCCCUACAUGCUAGGAGGCAUCGGGCAGUAGAUGCUGUAAUUUGAAACGGAAGGUGUCUUGCCAAUAAAUUUUCAUCCCACCUGAACUGCCUUGCCUGCCUGCACCCAGUCAUCUGUUCCUGAGCAUUUUCAUUUUCCUCUAUUUUUCAUCAUCGUUUGUUUCGGCCUGUAUGAAGUGAAUUUCACAUUGAUUGGUGGAGCUGCUAAGUUGGCAUUACAGGGCCACGCUGGGGUAUGAUCCUUUGGGUUGAACAAAAUGACUGCUAGUUGGUCGGUGAAGGUGAUGGGAUCGAUCAAUGUCGCAUGGAGUAAGAUCGAUACCAAUCUGCUUUGCUUCAUUUCGAACAAUCUCAUACGGAUAUUAUUGCGACAGGAGUGCUGCUCGAUGUGGUCAAGCCUAUUUGACAAAGCAUUAUGGUGUUAGUCAUGUUAUCAGAAACCGAUUUUUCAAAAUCACGGAGUUGCUUCAAUUUAGUAUCGAUAGAUAUUUCAAGAACGUGUAGACUAGUGAGCUUUUCAUCAAGAAUUUCACACAAUUUAUUUUCGCGUUUAUCCAUGUCAUCAUUGAGUUUUUGUCUCUCGCGUUCCAUUGCCAUGGCCACCGCUCUUUGAACGACUGUAUCAAUAUGAUCUAGGUAUGCUGGGCUUUGUUUAGAUCCAGUUAAUGAUGAAGCAGAGGAUUGUGUACAUGCGUUAGCCGAGUGCAAGCGGCCUCUUGAUCUGGUGGAUAUCUUAGACAUGUUAGAGAUUACGUAAUGAUAUACAUGUAAUUGAAAAGUGGGAUGGGCUGUGCAUCUGCCAACUCACCAGUCAACCAAUUAGAGACGGCCUUCCAAAGUGACACAGCACGAAAAUAUCAAUAUGGGACUGGUCUAGUCAACACAUAGAUCCUGAAAAAACCAUGGAGACCGCAGACGCAAAAUGACUUCCAUACAUAAAGAUAUGAUGCACAAUUUCCAGUCGGUUCAAAACACUGAACACAUGCUAUGCUGAUACACAGACUAUCAUAAGAACUUUAUCAAGCAUAUGAAAUCUGGUAUGAAAUCUCUCAGCUCACAUAAAAAGCCUACGUAGCUACAUGUAGGGAAGAAAAUGCGUAAUUGCUGAGAAAUGAGCAAAAUAAGCAUGUAAUUCUAUCAAAUGUCAGGUAUUUUUCGAAUUGAUUAUAAUACACUGUCCCACAUAUGCUUUUCUGUGUUUACAGCGAUCAUCAGAAUUAUCGAUUUUAAGUUUAAAAAUUCAUGAUUUUACAAAGAUACAAGUUUACAUCAAUGUACCAGAUGUAGAUUAUAUUUUCAUCAGACUUAUUAAUGUAUGAUUCUUUCACCCAAAUGCAAGCUUCCAUAAAUCCUGAAAACUUUGCAACUCAGGUUUUUUUUUUUACAUACAGUAUAUUUUUUCCUACAUUACAUAGUUGCCUAAGUUAAUAGCGCACCUCUAGUAGUAACUAUCUUAAAAUGAGUUCGAACAGAAUCCAACAGAAUUACCAGUAAAGUGUAUGUAUAUAUAAAAGAUGUGUGCCAAAAAGCUCGGUAAGAAAAUGUGUAAUUGCUGAGAAAUGAGCAAAAUAAGCAUGUUAUUCUAGAAAAUGUCGGGUAUUUUUCAAAUCAAUCAUAAUACACUGUCGUGUCCCACAUAUGCUUUUCUGUGUUAGUGAUCAUCAGAAUUAUUGAUUUUGAGAUCAAAAUUCAUGAUUUUACAAAGAUACAAGUUUACAUUAAUUUACCAGGGCCCCGUCUUACAAAGAGUUAUGAUUGAUCCGAUCAAUCGCAACUAUGGACGGUCAGCAACGUUAACAUCUAUUAAGCAUGUUUGUUCAAAAUAUUUUCUAGCUAUGAUGUAUGUUCAUGCAUUCAUUGUUUUCUCAAAAAUUCGCUGCGCUUCUCUUUGCAUACAAAGGACAGUGUGCAAAUUUUUUGUAGAAAAAAAUUAUGACACAUGGAUUUUCAAAGAGUUAUGAUUGAUCGGAUCAAUCGUAACUCUUUGUAAGACAGGGCCCAGAUCUAGAUUAUAUACAAUAUUUUGACAAUUAACCUUAAUUUAAAAGACUUUCCGAAGAAAUAAUUGUUUGCUGCAACUACUGUCUUUUACCCCUGACCCUAAGUGAUAGUGUAAUACAACCCAAACAUUUCAUAAGAAUUAAUGUACAUGUAUGAUUCUUUCACCCAAAUGCGAGCUUCCAUAAAUCCUGAAACUAUUCCAACUCAGGUAUUUUUUUUUUACAUACAGUAUAUUUUUACCUACAUUACAUAGUUGUCUAAAGUUGAAGGUAUAUUUAAUUACAAUUUCAACGAAAAAGCUUUAUUCUUGGAGAUCAUUAUGCCUCUGUUAUGUAUUAAUGUGUAUUUAUAUAUAUACAAUUGUAUGUAUUGGUAUAACAAACAUUGUAAUUUCAUUCCUUUUACCCUAAUACUGCAUUUUCAUAGAAAAGUGUUUUUUUUUUUUCAAUCUAUUUAGAGUUUUCAACAUUUUGUUUUCCUUUUUUUUUUGCUGGUAAUAUCAUGUUAUGCAACUUUUAUUUAUUAAUAGAAUAUUUGCCAUGAUUUCGUAAUUGAAAUGCGUACAUGUAUUUGAUUUCGUUUUCCAUUUUUGUAUAUAUUAUUUUUCGGGGGGGGGGGGUCAUGUUCUUGAGACCGAGACAAGUUAUGCAAGGCCCUGGCAUGGAGGAUCAUUAUAUUGUUACUGGGAAUGCUGGACAUUGUCAGACCACCUCAGUAUUCACGAAAUAUAGAUAAUCCUCAAUGACAAGGUCUUUGAAGUGAUGUGUGUAUGUACAUUGCAUGUAGAAUUUAAUGUUUAGGUCAUUAUCACGUCAGAAUACGUUAAGAUAUCAUAGUUGACUCCAAAAGACGUCAUAUUCAUUUCAAUAUGCGACGUCAAUAUGACGUCUAUUACUGGUCAGCAAUAUGUUGCAAAGUCGUCAUUCAGACGUCGUAGUUGACUUAUAAAGACGUCAUAAUUACAUCAAUAUGACGUCUGAAACUGGUCAGGAAUACGUUGCAAAGUUGUCAUUAAGACGUCGUAGAUGACUUUUAAAGACGUCAUAAUUACAUCAAUAUGACGUCUAAAACCGGUCAGGAACACGUUGCACGGAUGUCAUUAAGACGUCGUUGUUAACUCUCGAAGAUGUCAUAAUCACGUCAAUACACGACGUCAAUCUGACCGUUGAUACUGGUCAGGAAAACGUUAUAAAAACGUUGCAAAGACGUCAUUAAGACGUCGUAGUCACUCUUGGAGACGUCAUAAUGACGUCAAUAUACGACGUCAUAAUGACGUUAUUCGCGGGUGCAAGAUCCCGUCAUUAAGACGUCAUGUUACGACGUCAAUAUGACGUGAGACCCGUCGUAAAAAUGACGUAAAUAUAACGUCAUUUUUACCAGUUUCUGCUAUCAGGGACGUUGUAACCCGCAAGUGAAAACCCGAACCGUACUGUCCCGUAUAAUCCAAUAAUUUGCAAGCGGGACCCGCUGACCCGCCGGGUUUUAACCCGCAAGUCAAUUUAUCUAUGAACAAGUGGAACGCCUUUGGCAGUCUCGCCUGCAUUACGCAAUUUAAUAUAGCAGCAGUGCUAACUUUGAAAACUACUAUAAAAUAAUCAUUCACAAAAACAUCAUUCAUAUAAUGACAUAAUACCACGUUCAUUGACCAUAAAUGACAUUUGAACAGAGACUUAAGACUGUCAACUACACCCAUGUCCACAUUUCAUUCACUCUAUCCAUAAACUUUCAAAGUUAUGAUGGCACUUCAACAAUUACCCCAACAUGGCCUAAGUUUAUUGACCUUAACUGACCUUUGACUUGGUUUUGUGACCUGAAACUCACAGGGGAUGUUCAGUGAUGCUUGAUUACUCUUAUAUCCCAAGUUUUAUGAACUAGAUCUAUAAACUUUCAGAGUUAGGAUGGUAAUUCAACAAAUACCCCCAACACGGCCAAAGUUCAUUGACCUUUAAUGACUUUUGACCAUGGUCAUGUGACAUGAAACUCGUACAGGAUGUUCAGUAAUACUUGAUUAACCUUAUGUCCAAGUUUCAUGAACUAGGUCCAUAUACUUUCUAAGUUAUGAUGUCAUUUCAAAAACUUAACCUUAGGUUAAGAUUUGAUGUUGACGCCGCCGCCUCCGUCGCCGUCGGAAAAGCGGCGCCUAUAGUCUCGCUCUGCUAUGCAGGCGAGACAAAAAUGAAAAAUAUUAUUUUUGCAAUCCCCACACUAUACAGGCUCAAAUCAGGAAAAUAUAUGCCAACUACUAACCUAGCCUAGAUUGAAUUUACUUACAAUUUGCAAAUUCGCCUUUUAUUCCGGAGAGAAAAUGUUUUUUGGGGUGACUUUAUACCACGAAAUGAGUCCGCUCUGAUCUCGAAAUUGAAAGCAUUACGCAAUUAACUCAUCUCUGAUUGGAGCCGCAGCGCGCGCUAUAGCUAGCUAGCCCAGGCUGCCCAGCAAAGAUCGGCAAUGUUGUUUUUCAGUCCAGGUCGGUCGACACGGCGACUCACAACAAUCAUAAUUACAAUAUUCAAUUCUAUGGGACCUCAUCUAUAAAGUAAUCAAAAUUGAAAUAAAUACCAGGAUAAUGAUACAGUCAAUUUUUUCUUCUUGUAUAUCUCCAUAUUAUUUCCUUCUGUUUUUGUAUUUCUUCCAAUUUUUUGUUAACUAAUACAAACGUGCACAAGGGUGCCCAUGAACUUAAGUAAACAGUCCGUGUUACUAGUGCUUAGCUAGCUAGGCUUUUAUUUAUUUUUUAUCUCUCUCGAUCGAUCGGUCAAGAGAGAGGUAUUUGCAAGAAACUUGCAAUCCAUUGCAAUCCAAUUUUACAUCUUCAGAAAUCUUGAAGACUUUCAAUCAAUUGUACAUCGGAAAAAUUAAGAGAUCUGGGCAUUCAGGGUGCGGGGGCUUCAGUUUUCAUCAGAAAAUGUAUGAAAUAACGAAAAGGAGGGUUAGUUAGCCACUAGACUAGACCAGCUUAGCAUGUCUUAAAAAAGGGGCAGCUAACACUCUGACCUGACGGCAUGCUCUAUCAGGUCAUGACCUAAUUUGGUAAUCCAAUAAGCAAACAACUGUCUCACUGCCGUGCACCGGUACCGCAAAUCCCUCGAGCUCAAACAGCGAGCGUUGCCGUGGAAACAGGCUCGAAUCGCCACACUCAUAAAACAUUUCUUUCUCUGCCACGUGGCCUAUCACUCGCUCCUUGCCAGACAUGAUUACGAAAUGUAUUCUGGCUUCUGUUUACAUUCUCCGAACACAUCCCCUCCCCUCUCUCUCUCUAUCUCCCCCUCUCUCUCUCCCCCUCUCCCAGUCGUAAAACAUUCCUUUCUCUGAUCUGACUGCGCUGCACUGGCGCUCCUUUGAAAGAGCGACUCGAUGUAGUAUGUCGAACUGUCUCAGUCCUGUUCAUUGUUCACAAGACAAAAAUACGCCGGCAUUUUUUUAAAGGAAAUAUCUACGUCUCUAAAAGAAUCCGCCACGUAAGAAGCACAUGAUCCUAUCUCGAUUUUCAUUGUUAAUGUUUUAUCAUGCGUCGUUACUUCUCCCUUUUUUUAGUAUGACGGUCUGCGGGUUUGAGAAUGAUCUCGGCCCGGCCCGCAACCCGCGAUCGGGGGCAUACCGGCAGGUUAACCCGUACCGCAACGGGUGCGGGUUACAACAUUAGGAAAAAGUAAAAUAAUUUUCCCUCAUUUCCCUGAUGGGCUGGGAACCCUGAAACAGGUGCACUGUAGCCUUUGAUAGUGAUGUGUAAUGCCACUAGAUUCAUGGGAAAACUGAAAAAUGAUUUGUGUUAAAUAUAGAUCAUUGGGAAUAUUUUUUUUACAAUAAAUCACAAAACAUAGACUUGAAUAUAAUAUAAAUGAAAUAUGUAUAGUUUUCUGAAAGUUUGUGAAACAAAACAAAACGAUUCAUCAAUUAUUAAAUCAACAUUUAAGAAAGUAAAAAAAACUUCCAAUUUACAACAAGUGGAGCGCCUCUGGCAGUCUCACCUGCAUCGCACGAUUCAUUAUAGCAGCAGUGCUGAUUUUGAAAACUACUAUAAAAUAAUUAUUCACAAAAAAAACAUUCAUAUAAUGAUAUAAUACUACGUUCAUUGACAAUAAAUGACAUCUGACCUUGAUCAUGCGACCUAAGACUUGUCAGUGAUACUUGAUUACCCCUAUAUCCACAUUUAAUAAACUAUAUCUAUAAACUUUGAAAGUUAUGACAGAAAUAUAAUUACCUCCAAAUGGCCAAAGUUCAAUGACCUUAAAUGACCAUUGACUUUGGUCAUGUGACCUGAAACUCGCAUAGGAUGUUCAAUGAUACUUGAUUAUGUCCAAGUUUCAUGAAUCACAUCCAUAAACUUUCAAAGUUACGACGGUAAUUCAACAGAUACCCCCAACAUGGCCAAAGUUCAUUGACCUUUGACCUUGGUCAUGUGACCUGAAACUCGCACAGGAUGUUCAGUGAUACUUGAUUACUUUUAUGUCUAAGUUUCAUGAAUCAGAUCCAUAAACUUUUAAAGUUAUGAUGGUAAUUCAACAGAUACCCCCAACUUGGCCAAAGUUCAUUGACCCUAAGUGACCUUUGACCUUGGUCAUUUGACUUGAAACUCAGUCAGGAUGUUAAGUAAUACUUGAUUAACCUUAUGUCCAAGUUUCAUGAACUGGGUCCAUAUAUUUUUUUAAGUUACGCUGUCAUUUCAAAAACUUAACCUUAGGUUAAGAUUUUGAUGUUGAUUCCCCAACAUGGUCUAAGUUCAUUGACCCUAAAUGACCUUUGACCUUGGUCAUGUGACCCAAAACUCAGGCAGGAUGUUCAGUAAUACUUCAUUAACCUUAUGGCCAAGUUUCAUGAAUUAGGUCCAUAUACUUUUUAAGUUACGAUGUCAUUUCAAAAACUUAACCUUCGGUUAAGAUUUGGUGUUGACGCCGCCGUCGGAAAAACGGCGCCUAUACAUGUACAUGUACAUGUACAUGUAGUCUCACUCUGAUUCGCAGGUGAGACAAAAAUUGAAGAUCGGUUUCUUGGAAAAUAUUCGUUUGUGAUGUCACAGAUGUAGCCAUAUGCAGCCACUCAAGUAAUUUCAAUCCUUUUCAGAGAAAUACAUGUAUUGCAACAUUUAUUUUUGCUUUCCCCUGUAACAGUGAGCAAUGUGUUUGCUCAUAUUCAUUACCAGAAGUAGCAUAAAGUAAUUAUCAUGAUUACAAACCAGAAAGUCAAUUAUACAUGUAGUUAGGCAGGAAUAGUUUAUCUACAACUUGCAUAAAAAAUCCAAUGAACCACAUGCCUAACAUGUUUCAUCCGUGCACAUAAAAUAUUGGUUCAAAGUAUAUGUAGAGACAGUGAUUUUCCGCGAUCGCGGAAAACGGAAUGAAUUCACGGAAAGGGCCUUUUGAAACGGAAAGUGGCAUUUCAAACGGAAAAUCACGGAAAACGUAUUUUCCCUCAAAAUACACAGAAUAGCACCAAAAAUUACUCCAAAAUCACAAUAAAAUGAGAAUAUUAAAUGGCCACAAAACCCCAGAAAACACGGUCUCACUUCGCUACUAUCAUGACAAUUCACACAUCGUGACUGCACUCGACAUCAGCACACUCGAUUGUACCCCGCACCCGUACCCGGCCGGCCGGGUUGGUCUUCACAUGCACACAUAUCGUUCAACUACCCCACUGGGCAGUUUACCUGACAUUACCCGGGUUGUAACAGGUAAUAACAUGGAUAUUACUACGGUAACAACAGUGGGUAAUAACAGGGAAAUAGUAGACCAAUCCUUCCCUCUUAUUACCUGGACCUGAUAUUUACCCAAUAUUUCUCAGUAUGAUGUAACUACUAUUUCCAGCAUUUUAAUGAUAUCACCACCUCAUAUUACUCUGUUUACCCAAUAUUACCCAAUUAAUGUCAGCUCAUUAAAAAAACAAUUAGUGUCAUUAGGGUCAUUGAAGCACAUUUUUACAACUCCAUACUCUAAGCCAUAUCAUCUUAUCCUAUCCUAAAAUCCUACAUCCUAAUCCUAAUCCUAUCCUACACCUAUCCACCACACCCUGUCAUUUACUUCUAUAUAUUGAGCGAGUUUACAACACUUGACAAAUUAUGGUUAACAAUUAUUCAACCCUAAAACAUUUUUCUAAAAUUAAUGUCAUGAUUAUGACUAAUAUGAUAUAUAAACUACACAUUUUUCUGAAAAUUUUCUGGGUGGAAUAAUUGCAUAAACAUAAACACAUUAAUUAUUACAGCUAUAUUAGCUAAAAUUUUGGCCAUUUAUUGUAGUAAUGAAUAUUCAUGAGUAACUAAUAUUCCCAGCAUUUUCCUGAUAUUACCAUCUGAUAUUACUCCAUUUACCCAAUAUUAAUGGGUUCCGCAUGGGUUGGAGGUCUUGUUUCCAUCUGAGUCCUAUCUGGGCACCAUGUGGGUUCAAGUAUAUGUUUUCAUCUGGGUUCCAUGUGGGCCCAUAUGGGACCCAGAUAUCCCAGAUAAGAACCGUAUGUGAUCCAGAUACUUUGCUGUCUGGGAAUGGAAGCGUUUCAACAUUACCCAUUACCCCUUAUCAACCUGUUUGUAACUGGGUAAAAUGUUGGUUUCAUCAGGGUGAUAACAAUAAUUUUUUGGACUUUGAAAAUUUCGCUGGGAUUGCUGUAAGAUUGCUCUUAUUACUAAAGUUUGCAAUGUUAUAACCAAUCAAAGUCAUUCAACAUUACCCUUAUUACCCCUCAUCACCCUGUUGUAACUAGGUAAAUGUAGGUUUCAUCAGGGUGAUAACAGUAACAGGUAUCAACAGGAAUUAUAAUUUCGGUAAUAACAUGGUAAUAACGGUAAUAUUUGGUGUUACUCAAAUUUCCGGGUGAUAUUACCGGUAAUAACCGGUAAAAUUGGUAAUCGGUAACAAAUUGCCCAGUGGGACACGGUCGUGUGUUGCUGCCCUCUACGUUUGAAGAUGUAACAGCACGAUAUCGUGGUCUUCAAAUCCAAGAUGGCGGAUUGGCAAAAGCCGUUGACUGAUGAUAACGAUGUCCAAAAAAACCCAAAAUUAUCGAUGAAAUAUCAUUUCACCGUGAAAUAAUGCUAAUAAUGUGAAAGGUGAGGAUGUAUGCAUGCUAAAUGGGUUU
Long non-coding RNA from Lytechinus pictus (painted urchin), 9255 nucleotides. RefSeq lists it as uncharacterized. Lineage: Eukaryota; Metazoa; Echinodermata; Echinoidea; Temnopleuroida; Toxopneustidae. The record is from RefSeq and is a predicted model, not a curated record. The transcript is spliced from 3 exons.